Molecule: ribosomal RNA, 497 nt
Filed under: uncultured bacterium
Lineage: Bacteria
Description: partial 16S ribosomal RNA
Rfam family: Bacterial small subunit ribosomal RNA
Source: RNAcentral
GAUGAACGCUGGCGGCGUGCCUAAUACAUGCAAGUCGAGCGAACAGACGAGGAGCUUGCUCCUCUGACGUUAGCGGCGGACGGGUGAGUAACACGUGGAUAACCUACCUAUAAGACUGGGAUAACUUCGGGAAACCGGAGCUAAUACCGGAUAAUAUAUUGAACCGCAUGGUUCAAUAGUGAAAGACGGUUUUGCUGUCACUUAUAGAUGGAUCCGCGCCGCAUUAGCUAGUUGGUAAGGUAACGGCUUACCAAGGCAACGAUGCGUAGCCGACCUGAGAGGGUGAUCGGCCACACUAGAACGGAGACACGGUCCAGGCGCCUACGGGAGGCAGCAGUAGGGAAUCUUCCGCAAUGGGCGAAAGCCUGACGGAGCAACGGCGCGUGAGUGAUGAAGGUCUUCGGAUCGUAAAACUCUGUUAUUAGGGAAGAACAAAUGUGUAAGUAACUAUGCACGUCUUGACGGUACCGAAUCAGAAAGCCACGGCUAACUACGUG